This 233-nucleotide long non-coding RNA is filed under the name Sorghum bicolor (sorghum). RNAcentral's name for it is "long non-coding RNA (SBIC_LNC005625)". The record is from RNAcentral. Lineage: Eukaryota; Viridiplantae; Streptophyta; Magnoliopsida; Poales; Poaceae.
UUCUGAGGAAAACCUAGAUCCGGACCCCUCGCCGCCGGCCAUGGCCACGCGCCGGGCCCUCUCAUCUAUCCUCCGCUCCGCCUCUCGCCUCCGCUCCGCCUCACCGUCCCCGUGCCCGCGCGCGCCGCUCCACCACCGCCCGUCCCCCGCGGGCUUCAUACUCAACCGCGCAGCCGCCUACGCAUCCUCCGCCGCGGCCCAGGCCGCGCCCGCUCCGCCGCCUCCUUCCACCG